CGGAAGCAGUCCACCGCUCCUGAGAAAUGGACAUCCACUCCUCCACAGUGGACAAGAUAAGGACUUUGAGCCUGGCAGGAAACAGAAGAAUUCCUUCCCCAGUGGUCUGCAUUGUGGUUCUCAAAGGGUCAAAUAUGUGCCUUUCCAUGGUGAUGGAGAAGGAGCAACACAGACAGGGCUAAAGAACAUUUGUUCUGCAAGAAACUCAUGGGGUAGGCUGCCGGGGUGGAAACGAGUGCCGAUCCCGGAGGCAAACCGCCUGGCCUUUAUCCCAGUUCAGUUACUCGAAGAUGGGUUUGUAAGCUACGGAACCUUGGAGUGCCUCCGUUUUUCUCAUCUCGACCAGCAAGAUGGCUCAGCAGGUAAAAGUGCUUGCUGCCAAGACUGAUGACUUGAGUUUAAGCUCCAGAGCCUGCGCGGUGCACAGAGAGCACUGACUCCCUCGAGCUGUCUGAGUGCACCGGGGCCCGCAAUAAAACAGGCUUCGUAGGAACAGUGCUCAUUUGGCACUUGGUGAAUUGUUGUAAGGAUUGGAUGACGUAAUGAACAUACAGUUGGCCCAGUGCCUACUGUAUCUCCCUGCUCAGUGCUGAUGAUCACUUUCAGAAUCAUUCCUAGGGAACAGUAUGUGCUACAGUAUGAGCUGAUAAGGUCCUUGAUUGGAGUCAGGGCAGGAAGAAAAGGGGCCCUUAUGGGAGAGUUAAGAGUGCAGAAGCGACCCGGCUUUGGAUUGGUUGGGUGAGGGGACGGCAGAGCUGAACCUAACUUCUGGCUGCUUAGCUUGGCUGUGUGGGACAGUGAUGGCCCUGAAAGGGAAAACUCGAAGAAGACAGUUUUAGGGGAAGAAUAGUAACUUGGAUACACAGUGGGUUGGAAGUGACCAUGGAGAUGUGACAGCCAAUGGCACUGAUCAGCAGGCUGUGAGAAACAUGGGCCCAGGACUGAGGGAGGGAGACUGGGCUGGAAGACGCAGCAUGGAACACAAGAAGCUCUGAGUGGAGGUAUGAAGUGACUGUGUCCUGCUCAGCAAAGGUUGCUCAAGGUGGUGAGCAUCUGGGUCAGACUGGAGUCUGUUUGAGCAGGCUGGGGCCUCUGUUUAUUCACUGACCGUGUGCGUUCUGCUCUGUCAGCUCGGCCACUUGGAUCCCACCUUUGUCCUCCACUUUAUGCACGUUCAGUUCAAAUGCUGACCUGGCCCAGUCCUGCUUGCCUUGUGAGCUGUGGUGGCGGCGGCAAAGUCCACCGGGGUACAAACCAACAGGCUGAUACGUGGCUUUGUAUUUGAUGAAAUGGAGAUACCCAAUACGAGCAACAGAGUAGGGAGCAGGCAGAGUGGAGAGGGUGCCCAUGGACCCCCUUCCUGAUUCAUUCAGAAGGCCUAUCAGACUCCAGGCUUCAUGUGGGCAGUGGCUCCCCAGAUUCCCAGGACAGUGUUCCCCAGCCUGUCUUACCCUCUCACAUACUCCUGCCUAUGGAACCAUUAUAUGUUUUUUUUUUUUUUUAGGAUUCUUUGGUCCUUAAUAGGGGCUUACAGAUUACUCC
Molecule: non-coding RNA, 1542 nt
Organism: Peromyscus maniculatus bairdii (prairie deer mouse)
Lineage: Eukaryota; Metazoa; Chordata; Mammalia; Rodentia; Cricetidae
Source: RefSeq, a predicted model, not a curated record